UACUUAGGAAUCUACCUAGUAGUGGGGGAUAGCACGGGGAAACUCGUAUUAAUACCGCAUACGACCUACGGGAGAAAGGGGGCAGUUUACUGCUCUCGCUAUUAGAUGAGCCUAAGUCGGAUUAGCUAGAUGGUGGGGUAAAGGCCUACCAUGGCGACGAUCUGUAGCUGGUCUGAGAGGAUGAUCAGCCACACCGGGACUGAGACACGGCCCGGACUCCUACGGGAGGCAGCAGUGGGGAAUAUUGGACAAUGGGGGAAACCCUGAUCCAGCCAUGCCGCGUGUGUGAAGAAGGCCUUUUGGUUGUAAAGCACUUUAAGCAGUGAAGAAGACUCCGUGGUUAAUACCCACGGACGAUGACAUUAGCUGCAGAAUAAGCACCGGCUAACUCUGUGCCAGCAGCCGCGGUAAUACAGAGGGUGCAAGCGUUAAUCGGAAUUACUGGGCGUAAAGGGAGCGUAGGUGGCUCGAUAAGUCAGAUGUGAAAUCCCCGGGCUCAACCUGGGAACUGCAUCUGAUACUGUUGAGCUAGAGUAUGUGAGAGGAAGGUAGAAUUCCAGGUGUAGCGGUGAAAUGCGUAGAGAUCUGGAGGAAUACCGAUGGCGAAGGCAGCCUUCUGGCAUAAUACUGACACUGAGGCUCGAAAGCGUGGGUAGCAAACAGGAUUAGAUACCCUGGUAGUCCACGCCGUAAACGAUGUCUACUAGUCGUUGGGUCCCUUGAGGACUUAGUGACGCAGCUAACGCAAUAAGUAGACCGCCUGGGGAGUACGGCCGCAAGGUUAAAACUCAAAUGAAUUGACGGGGGCCCGCACAAGCGGUGGAGCAUGUGGUUUAAUUCGAUGCAACGCGAAGAACCUUACCUGGUCUUGACAUAUCUAGAAUCCUGCAGAGAUGCGGGAGUGCCUUCGGGAAUUAGAAUACAGGUGCUG
This 931-nucleotide ribosomal RNA is filed under the name Psychrobacter sp. RNAcentral describes it as "bacterial SSU rRNA". It matches the Rfam family "Bacterial small subunit ribosomal RNA", at positions 114 to 1043 of the family's 1533-position model. Lineage: Bacteria; Pseudomonadati; Pseudomonadota; Gammaproteobacteria; Moraxellales; Moraxellaceae. The record is from RNAcentral.